Molecule: signal recognition particle RNA, 99 nt
Filed under: Ruminococcus champanellensis 18P13 = JCM 17042
Lineage: Bacteria; Bacillati; Bacillota; Clostridia; Eubacteriales; Oscillospiraceae
Also listed under: 1 other name
Description: Ruminococcus sp. 18P13 Bacterial small signal recognition particle RNA
Rfam family: Bacterial small signal recognition particle RNA
About the family: The signal recognition particle (SRP) is a universally conserved ribonucleoprotein involved in the co-translational targeting of proteins to membranes. Archaeal SRP consists of a 7S RNA and homologues of the eukaryotic SRP19 and SRP54 proteins.
Source: Rfam by way of RNAcentral
GUGCGGGCCCUGUGCAACGAAGCGCCGUGAACCAUGUCAGGCGGGGAACCGAGCAGCAUUAAGCGGUUGUUUUCGUGUGCCGCAGCAAGCCUGCACACC